GUGAUCACUUCGGCAGCAUAUGUACUAAAAGUGGAACAAUACAGAGAUUUGCACGGCCCCUGCACAAAUAUGACACACAAAUUUGUGAAACAUUCCCUAUUUUU
Molecule: small nuclear RNA, 104 nt
Filed under: Mus spicilegus (steppe mouse)
Lineage: Eukaryota; Metazoa; Chordata; Mammalia; Rodentia; Muridae
Source: RNAcentral